AUACUUACUUAGCAGAGGAGAUUCCAUGAUCUGGAAUGUGGUUUUCCUUGGUUUUGUCACAAUCAUUGAUCUGGAACUGAACUGUCUCUUGCAUUUCCUUAUAUAUGGCAAACGACUGCUGC
RNAcentral lists this small nuclear RNA (122 nucleotides) under Monodelphis domestica (gray short-tailed opossum). RNAcentral's name for it is "U1 spliceosomal RNA (ENSMODG00000026745.1)". It matches the Rfam family "U1 spliceosomal RNA". From Rfam's summary of the family: U1 is a small nuclear RNA (snRNA) component of the spliceosome (involved in pre-mRNA splicing). Its 5' end forms complementary base pairs with the 5' splice junction, thus defining the 5' donor site of an intron. Lineage: Eukaryota; Metazoa; Chordata; Mammalia; Didelphimorphia; Didelphidae. The record is from RNAcentral.